RNAcentral lists this ribosomal RNA (509 nucleotides) under Staphylococcus aureus. RNAcentral's name for it is "partial 23S ribosomal RNA". It matches the Rfam family "Bacterial large subunit ribosomal RNA", at positions 193 to 701 of the family's 2925-position model. Lineage: Bacteria; Bacillati; Bacillota; Bacilli; Caryophanales; Staphylococcaceae. The record is from RNAcentral.
CUGAAACAUCUUAGUACCCGGAGGAAGAGAAAGAAAAUUCGAUUCCCUUAGUAGCGGCGAGCGAAACGGGAAGAGCCCAAACCAACAAGCUUGCUUGUUGGGGUUGUAGGACACUCUAUACGGAGUUACAAAGGACGACAUUAGACGAAUCAUCUGGAAAGAUGAAUCAAAGAAGGUAAUAAUCCUGUAGUCGAAAAUGUUGUCUCUCUUGAGUGGAUCCUGAGUACGACGGAGCACGUGAAAUUCCGUCGGAAUCUGGGAGGACCAUCUCCUAAGGCUAAAUACUCUCUAGUGACCGAUAGUGAACCAGUACCGUGAGGGAAAGGUGAAAAGCACCCCGGAAGGGGAGUGAAAUAGAACCUGAAACCGUGUGCUUACAAGUAGUCAGAGCCCGUUAAUGGGUGAUGGCGUGCCUUUUGUAGAAUGAACCGGCGAGUUACGAUUUGAUGCAAGGUUAAGCAGUAAAUGUGGAGCCGUAGCGAAAGCGAGUCUGAAUAGGGCGUUUAGUA